This 400-nucleotide ribosomal RNA is filed under the name phytoplankton environmental sample. RNAcentral describes it as "partial small subunit ribosomal RNA". It matches the Rfam family "Eukaryotic small subunit ribosomal RNA", at positions 587 to 991 of the family's 1831-position model. The record is from RNAcentral.
AGCUCCAAUAGCGUAUAUUAAAGUUGUUGCAGUUAAAAAGCUCGUAGUUGGAUUUCGGAGCCGACCGGGCGGUCUGUCGAGAGACACGCACUGCACGGUGGCUCUUCCUCUCGGAGGCCCUGGCUGCCCUUAACUGGAGCGGGCAGGGGAUUCGGGACGUUUACUUUGAAAAAAUUAGAGUGUUCAAAGCAGGCUUAGGCCGUUGGAUACAUUAGCAUGGAAUAAUGAGAUAGGGCCACGGCGGUCUAUUUUGUUGGUUUGCACGUUGUGGUAAUGAUUAACAGGAACGGUUGGGGGUAUUCGUAUUCAAUUGUCAGAGGUGAAAUUCUUGGAUUUGUGGAAGACGAACUACUGCGAAAGCAUUUACCAAGGAUGUUUUCAUUAAUCAAGAACGAAAGUA